AUCAAUCGGAGGCGGGACACGAGCUGACCAAUCACAGCCCGCCUUGGGGGAGGUGGAGCGUGAUGGGCAGUGCGCCCAACCAAUAGCGUGCGUCCCCCCGCGCGCGCCGCCCAAUGAGCAUCGACCCGCUAUUUUGGAGGGAAACGGCGGCCAAUCAGAGCCCGUGCCGCAGGGGCGGGGACGAGGCUGCGGCGCUCUGGCCAAUGGCGUGCGAGGAGGUUUCCCCAGGCCCGCCCCCGCGCUCCCAGUCCAGCCCAGUUCUCCCAGUUCCCUCUCUCAGAGCUCAAUAAAUAAAACUUUAUUGACGGGGAAGGGGCGGGGCCUCCUCGGCUCCUCCCCCUUCCCCAGGCCUCGGGCCGGGAGGAAUUCACAGUAUUUUGGUUAAAAAAACAACCCCAAAGUUGCCCCAGGGGUUACCUGAGGCACCUGGGCAGCCCUGAGCGAGCACGGACAGCUGGUGCAGGUGUGCACAGGUGUGUCCAGGUGUGUCCAGGUGUGCACAGCCAUGGCCAGGUGUGUCCAGCUGUGUCUGCAGUCAUGGCCAGGUGUGCCCAGGUGUGUCCAGGUGUGCACAGCCAUGGCCAGGUGUGCACAGCUGUGUCCAGGUGUGUCUGCAGCCAUGGCCAGGUGUGCACAGCUGUGUCCAGGUGUGUCCAGAUGUGUCCAGGUGUGUCUGCAGUCAUGGCCAGGUGUGCCCAGGUGUGUCCAGCCAUGGCCAGGUGUGUCCAGCUGUGCCCAGGUGCACACAGCUGCUCCCAGCCGUGCCCAGGUGUAUCCAGCUGUGUCCAGCUGUCUGUCCAGCUGUGUCCAGGUGUAUCCAGCUGUGUCCAGCUGUUCCCAGCCAUGCCCAGGUGUCUGUCCAGCUGUGUCCAGGUGUCUGUCCAGCUGUGUCCAGCUGUCUGUCCAGCCAUGUCCAGGUGUAUCCAGCUGUGUCCAGCUGUUCCCAGCCGUGCCCGCCCCCAGCCCCGCUCUCAGUCCCGCGGCUCCCGGGGGCGGCUCCCCCACCCCGGGGGGCUCUGGGGGGG
Long non-coding RNA from Poecile atricapillus (Black-capped chickadee), 1025 nucleotides. RefSeq lists it as uncharacterized. The record is from RefSeq and is a predicted model, not a curated record. Lineage: Eukaryota; Metazoa; Chordata; Aves; Passeriformes; Paridae. The transcript is spliced from 3 exons.